This 424-nucleotide long non-coding RNA is filed under the name Ictidomys tridecemlineatus (thirteen-lined ground squirrel). RNAcentral describes it as "lncRNA (ENSSTOG00000032479.1)". Lineage: Eukaryota; Metazoa; Chordata; Mammalia; Rodentia; Sciuridae. The record is from RNAcentral.
CCGAGUCUUCCAGCGAGUAAAUCAUUAUCCCAGGCUACACAAAGCAAUCCUUGAACCAGCCUGUCGCUGCCCUGUGACACGAUCCAAGGAAGCAAAGGGGAGGAGGUUGGCUUGGGACCCACGAACAGGACCCCCACCCAUGCCCUGAAGACUGAUCCUGGCCUGUGAACAGAGCACACAGCUGCAGAGGAGUGGGAUUGGCAUCUCUUUGGCACAACCGGGGACAUGACGUAGCUUGCAAGCCAGAGUAAUAAGGGCUCUCUGGGAGCAUGUGGUAAGCUCCGAGUGGCUGCUGUCUCCUGAAGCGAGCCAGACCCUGGCUUCCUCCAGGGAUGGAAAACCGGUCCCUGCUAUCCACCUGAGCAUGGCAGCUGUGUCCCUGGGUGUCGGCGCCAGACUGUCCAAGUUCAAAUCUUACCAUUCC